RNAcentral lists this ribosomal RNA (1602 nucleotides) under Escherichia coli. RNAcentral describes it as "partial 23S ribosomal RNA". It matches the Rfam family "Bacterial large subunit ribosomal RNA", at positions 1213 to 2797 of the family's 2925-position model. Lineage: Bacteria; Pseudomonadati; Pseudomonadota; Gammaproteobacteria; Enterobacterales; Enterobacteriaceae. The record is from RNAcentral.
CUUAUGCGUUGUUGGGUAGGGGAGCGUUCUGUAAGCCUGUGAAGGUGUACUGUGAGGUAUGCUGGAGGUAUCAGAAGUGCGAAUGCUGACAUAAGUAACGAUAAAGCGGGUGAAAAGCCCGCUCGCCGGAAGACCAAGGGUUCCUGUCCAACGUUAAUCGGGGCAGGGUGAGUCGACCCCUAAGGCGAGGCCGAAAGGCGUAGUCGAUGGGAAACAGGUUAAUAUUCCUGUACUUGGUGUUACUGCGAAGGGGGGACGGAGAAGGCUAUGUUGGCCGGGCGACGGUUGUCCCGGUUUAAGCGUGUAGGCUGGUUUUCCAGGCAAAUCCGGAAAAUCAAGGCUGAGGCGUGAUGACGAGGCACUACGGUGCUGAAGCAACAAAUGCCCUGCUUCCAGGAAAAGCCUCUAAGCAUCAGGUAACAUUAAAUCGUACCCCAAACCGACACAGGUGGUCAGGUAGAGAAUACCAAGGCGCUUGAGAGAACUCGGGUGAAGGAACUAGGCAAAAUGGUGCCGUAACUUCGGGAGAAGGCACGCUGAUAUGUAGGUGAAGCGACUUGCUCGUGGAGCUGAAAUCAGUCGAAGAUACCAGCUGGCUGCAACUGUUUAUUAAAAACACAGCACUGUGCAAACACGAAAGUGGACGUAUACGGUGUGACGCCUGCCCGGUGCCGGAAGGUUAAUUGAUGGGGUUAGCGGUAACGCGAAGCUCUUGAUCGAAGCCCCGGUAAACGGCGGCCGUAACUAUAACGGUCCUAAGGUAGCGAAAUUCCUUGUCGGGUAAGUUCCGACCUGCACGAAUGGCGUAAUGAUGGCCAGGCUGUCUCCACCCGAGACUCAGUGAAAUUGAACUCGCUGUGAAGAUGCAGUGUACCCGCGGCAAGACGGAAAGACCCCGUGAACCUUUACUAUAGCUUGACACUGAACAUUGAGCCUUGAUGUGUAGGAUAGGUGGGAGGCUUUGAAGUGUGGACGCCAGUCUGCAUGGAGCCGGCCUUGAAAUACCACCCUUUAAUGUUUGAUGUUCUAACGUUGGCCCCUGACCGGGGUUGCGGACAGUGUCUGGUGGGUAGUUUGACUGGGGCGGUCUCCUCCUAAAGAGUAACGGAGGAGCACGAAGGUUGGCUAAUCCUGGUCGGACAUCAGGAGGUUAGUGCAAUGGCAUAAGCCAGCUUGACUGCGAGCGUGACGGCGCGAGCAGGUGCGAAAGCAGGUCAUAGUGAUCCGGUGGUUCUGAAUGGAAGGGCCAUCGCUCAACGGAUAAAAGGUACUCCGGGGAUAACAGGCUGAUACCGCCCAAGAGUUCAUAUCGACGGCGGUGUUUGGCACCUCGAUGUCGGCUCAUCACAUCCUGGGGCUGAAGUAGGUCCCAAGGGUAUGGCUGUUCGCCAUUUAAAGUGGUACGCGAGCUGGGUUUAGAACGUCGUGAGACAGUUCGGUCCCUAUCUGCCGUGGGCGCUGGAGAACUGAGGGGGGCUGCUCCUAGUACGAGAGGACCGGAGUGGACGCAUCACUGGUGUUCGGGUUGUCAUGCCAAUGGCACUGCCCGGUAGCUAAAUGCGGAAGAGAUAAGUGCUGAAAGCAUCUAAGCACGAAACUUGC